AAUGAACGUUGGCGGCGUGGAUUAGGCAUGCAAGUCGCGCGAGAAACCCAGCAAUGGGUGGAAAGCGGCGUAAGGGAGAGGAACACGUGGAUUAUCUGCCCUCAAGUCUGGGAUAGCUGCGGGAAACUGCAGGUAAUACCGGAUAACGUCUUUGGACCAAAGGUGUGAUUCCGCUUGAGGAUGAGUCCGCGUCCUAUUAGCUAGUUGGUGAGGUAAUGGCUCACCAAGGCAUUGAUGGGUACCGGGUGUGAGAGCACGACCCGGCUCACUGGGACUGAGACACUGCCCAGACACCUACGGGUGGCUGCAGUCGAGGAUCUUCGGCAAUGGGCGCAAGCCUGACCGAGCGACGCCGCGUGCGGGAUGAAGGCCUUCGGGUUGUAAACCGCUGUCAGAGGGGAUGAAAUGUAUGAGGGUACUCUCUCAUACUUGACAUAGCCUCAAAGGAAGUACGGGCUAAGUUCGUGCCAGCAGCCGC
RNAcentral lists this ribosomal RNA (478 nucleotides) under uncultured bacterium. RNAcentral describes it as "bacterial SSU rRNA". It matches the Rfam family "Bacterial small subunit ribosomal RNA", at positions 29 to 518 of the family's 1533-position model. The record is from RNAcentral.